UACGUAGGGACCAAGCGUUGUUCGGAUUUACUGGGCGUAAAGGGCGCGUAGGCGGCAUGACAAGUCACUUGUGAAAUCUCCGGGCUUAACUCGGAACGGCCAAGUGAUACUGUCACGCUAGAGUGCAGAAGGGGCAAUCGGAAUUCUUGGUGUAGCGGUGAAAUGCGUAGAUAUCAAGAGGAACACCUGAGGUGAAGACGGGUUGCUGGGCUGACACUGACGCUGAGGCGCGAAAGCCAGGGGAGCAAAC
Molecule: ribosomal RNA, 250 nt
Filed under: uncultured bacterium
Lineage: Bacteria
Description: partial 16S ribosomal RNA
Rfam family: Bacterial small subunit ribosomal RNA
Source: RNAcentral